Molecule: long non-coding RNA, 9999 nt
Filed under: Triticum aestivum (bread wheat)
Lineage: Eukaryota; Viridiplantae; Streptophyta; Magnoliopsida; Poales; Poaceae
Description: long non-coding RNA (TAES_LNC005415)
Source: RNAcentral
CCCCUAUGUCUUGUUAAAAUGAUUUAUUUCAUAGCUAAAUAACCGUAACUCGGAAUUUAAUAAACUUUAUAUGUAAAUGGGGUAGAAUUUUGCCUAGUUUAACAUGGUGGCUUCACUUUGCACGCUUAACAACUCAAAAAUUAUGUUUAGGGCAGAACAGUACCAAAUCUAUAAUAUGCUCAUGAGGAGUUUCCGGAAUUGUUGUUCGUUGCUUCCGGCCUCAUUUAACCUUGACUAGAUAGGUAGUUUUCAUUUGCUUCACCUCUUGCAAUGCUAACAACAUUUAAUCUUGUUGGGUACAUAAACGAGAUCGAACUAAAUAAGUCAUGUGGUGUCUCAUCAAUAUGCAACGGAGUUGCAUAUUGUGCUCCACUUAAUUUGUAGGGUUGCUUGUGCACUUUGCCAUGCCAUGUAUCAUUAAACCGGACAUGCAUCAUACUUGGUUGCGCACCGUGCCAUGUUCAUGUCGUGGUUGUUUACUAUGUUGUGUGCUUCUUUUCCGGUGAUUGCUUCUUCGGGUUGGUUCCGGUAACGUCGUGUUGUGAGGAUUCAUCCGACUACGUCCGUUUGUCUUCUUCAUGGACUCGUUCUUCUUCCUUGCGGGAUUUCAGGCAAGAUGAUCAUACCCUCAAAAUCACUACUAUCUUUGCUAUGCUAGUUUUGCUCGCUCUUUUGCUAUGCCAAUGCUAUGAUGCCUACCAUUUGCUUGUCAGCCUCCCAAAUUGCCAUGUUAAACCUCUAACCCACCUUGUCCUAGCAAACCGUUGAUUGGCUAUGUUACCACUUUCCUCAGCCCCUCUUAUAGCGUUGUUAGUUGCAGGUGAAGAUUGAAGUUUGUUCCUUGUUGGAACAUGGAGAUGUUGUUCCUUGUUGGAACAUGUUUACUUGUUGGGAUAUCACAAUAUAUCUUAUUUAAUUAAUGCAUCUAUAUACUUGGUAAAGGGUGGAAGGCUCGGCCUUAUGCCUGGUGUUUUGUUCCACUCUUGCCGCCCUAGUUUCCGUCAUAUCGGUGUUAUGUUCCCGGAUUGUUGCGUUCCUUACGCGGUUGGGUUAUAAUGGGAACCCCUUGAUAGUUUGCCUUGAUUAAAACUUUUCCAGCAAUGCCCAACCUUGGUUUUACCAUUUGCCACCUAGCCUUUUCUUUCCCUUGGGUUCUGCAGACUCAAGGGUCAUCUUAUUUUAACCCCCACCCCCCCCCGGGCCAGUGCUCCUCUGAGUGUUGGUCCAAACCAUCAGCCGCCGAUGGCUACCAGGGGCAACUCUGGGCUGGCCUACCAAAAGUUUAGACAAUCUGAGUGUGCCCUAAGAAAGAGAUAUGUGCAGCUCCUAUCGGGAUUUGUCGGCACAUUCGGGCGGUGUUGCUGGUCUUGUUUUAACCUGUCGAAGUGUCUUGAAUUAUCGAGAUACCGAGUCUGAUCGGAAUGUCUUGGGAGGAGGUCUAUUCCUUCGUUGACCGUGAGAGCUUGUCAUGGGCUAAGUUGGGACUCCCCUGCAGGGAUUGAACUUUUGAAAGCCGUGCCCGCGGUUAUGGGCAGAUGGGAAUUUGGUAAUGUCCGGUUGUACAUAACUUGAACCUUAAUUAAUUAAAAUGAAUCAACUGAGUGUGUUACCGUGAUGGCCUCUUCUCGGUGGAGUCCGGGAAGUGGACACGGUGUUGGAGUAAUGCUUGCGCAGGUUGUUCUCUAGUUUCUCGCUCGUGCUUUGCCUCCUCUUCUCGCCCUCCUUUGCGAAUAAGUUAGCCACCAUAUUUGCUAGUCGCUUGCUGCAGCUCCACUUAUAUUUUACCUUGCCUCACCUAUGAGCUUAAAUAGUCUUGAUCGCGAGGGUGCAAGAUUGCUGAGUCCCUGUGGCUCACAGAUUACUAUUACACCAGAUGCAGGGCCUGAUGAUUCCGCUCCAGGAGACGCGUAUGAGCUCAAGUGGGAGUUCGACGAAGACUAUCAAUGAUACUACGUUUCCUUUCCUGAUGAUCAGUAGUGGUGCCCAGUUGGGGGUGAUUGGGACCGUGUCGCAUGUUGGAUUCUCUUUUAUUUUUGGUGCCGUAGUCGGGCCAUGAGUGUUUGGAUGAUGUAAUGUUAUUUAUGUUCUUGAUUGACGUGGCGAGUGUAAGCCAACUAUGUUCUCCCCUUUAUUAUUCAUAUUACAUGGAAUGUUGUGAAGAUUGCCUAACUUGCGACAUAUGCCUUCAAUGCGAUUAUGUCUCUAAGUCGUGCCUCGACACAUGGGAGCUAUAGUCGCAUCGAGGGUGUUACAAGUUGGUAUCAGAGCCUUCCCCGACCUUAGGAGCCCCAUUGCUUGAUCGUUUUUAGCAGCCAAGUUGUGUCUAGAAAAAUGUUUUGAGUCAUUUAGGAAUUAUAUAUCGGAGAGCUUAGGAAUUCUUUUUACUCCCUAGUCUCCUCAUCGCUUUGGUAAGGCAUCAUGACGUAGAGUUUUGACUCUUCUCUUCUCAAAAUUCACUAAAAAAAAUUUGGAUCACGCGGGUUUCUUGGAAUCGUUCCGAUGGUUUUAUGACGAGAACAUUGUCUUGUUGCCUCCUGUCAGGGGUUUUGUGGAAGUGUCCUGGGGAGUUGAGCUCUGAGGUGUUGUCGUCAUAAUUUUAUCGUUGCAGUUCUGGAAUACCUGAGUUUAGUACGCCGACAUCGAAAAUCUCUUUUAUGCAGUUCGUUGGUGAGAUAACCUCGACGCCACCCAGUACUGGGGUGGGAGUUCGGGAGUAUCGCCAUAACUUGUAUAACGGAUGCUUUUCUAAGGUUGAGCUAGAUGAUUUCCGAAGGUUUCUUGGUUAUGUGUUGAAGGAUGGAUACAGCUGGAUGUAGGAUUUGCUAGUUUUGGGUGAGAUAUUAUGCUUCCCCUGUAUCCCCAACACCUGAUUGCAUAACCGGAAAGGUUCGGAAGUUUCAUAGGUGGGAAUUCAAGUAGCUCUUAGAAUUUCUUUCCAACAGAUGUAUGAUAUGAAAUUGGGGUUCGACGUCUAGUGGUCCGCCUAUUCAUGGUCGGUUUUACAGUGGUCUCGUUGUGUCUUAAAGAGUCCUUGGCUAUGCCGACUCGGGGAUGCUUCGUAUGUCAUGUGCACUGCCUUGUACAUGAUGGUGUUGUACGAUCGAGCCCGUGUAGGCCCCACCACGAAAACUUCGGAUGAAAUCUCUAUCAUAUGUUUGUUCCGGCUUAUUCCGCAAGCCAAUCCUUUGUUUUGUUUUGAGUUGUGGUAUUCGAGUUGCUUCAAUGUCAAAUGCUCAUUCCAUACCUUCCCUAAGCGGUGUUCUCAUACUCCGAUGUGAAUACCAAUCCUUCUCGAUCAUCGAGUUUGUCAUUUCAAUUUCUUUUCAACUGGCGUGUUUCUCGUCAAGUGGAUCCGAUCAUUGCAACAUCUGCAAGAUCAAUUAUCAGUUCUUCUCAACGGUGUUUACUUCAUCCGUUCCAAGUUUCCUUUAUUUUCCCACCCUCCCACCCUUUUUCUUCAAGGAUUCAGAUUUCUUAAUCAAGUAUCAUCUUAUUGAUGAGAAGCCUCUCCAUUCUUUUUCCGUCAAUGUUCUUAUCCGACUAUUCUCAUGAAGAUUCUAACGGAGCUUCAAGUUCGUCACUCUUCACUCGUUUUCUUCUCCAGUGGAUCCAAUUCAACCUUUGUUGGUCAUAGCCUUUUCCUCAUUUCAAUGCCUUCUCAUACCGGUGCACUUCAUAAUAUUUCACUUCUCGCUAUUCAUUCAAAGGCUCGUCUUGUCAUUCAAGAUCCUUUCAAGCUCUUUCGAGAUUGUUAUCUCAUUCAUGUCAUUUAAUUCAACCGGUGCAACCUCUCUUUUAAAUCUUUUCAACGGUGUUUCUUUUGAGUGGGCCCUAACCCAUAGGUCUUUUCCCAGGAUCUUACUUGACUUUUCUAAUUUUCCGAAGUUAUUCUCAAAUUCUUUUCUAAAGUUUGACGUAAGAGUGAAUUUUCAUCAGUUAUGUCUUUCUCCAAGAUCUUUCAAAUUCUUUUCAUCGUUGGUUCAACUUUUCCAUUCUUCUUCAUUACGGAGUGCUUUAACAAUUCUUCGUGGUGUGUCCCGUCGUAAUUCUCAGGAUCUGAAGACCGAAGAUGAGUUUUAAAUCCAUAUCUUAUCCGUUCUCUCAGAGAUUCGUGCUUCUAGUUCGAGACUAUCCUCUCAUAAUCGUUUUUGAUUGUCAGAACUCUUUUCACCCACCCGGAGCAUUUCAUGAGUUGUUUUCCAUUUAUUUCCUAGGAAGACCUUCUUUUCAAAUAUUAUUCAUUCUCAGCUUUCAACUAUCAUUCUCCAAAUUUUACUGGUGCAUCUAUCAAAUAUCCUCUAAUCAGUGCAUGAUCUCUUCGUUCUCUCAUAUAUAAUUUCUCUCAAGCAUCUUCAUUCAUUUGUUAAUUUUUCCCGGUGUUUAUUUAUCUUCUCUUCUUUCAUUUUCAAUCCUACCGGUGGUUAGUUGAAGACCUUCUCAAGUUGGCGCCGUAUCUAUCCUAAUCCUUUCUUCGAGAAUAAGUUGUAUGCAAUCCGUUUACUCGUCAUCAAUUUAAUUGGUGAAGGAUACGUAUAACAUAAUUCUUGUUCUUGUUUCAUCCAAGUGUUUAAUUCUUUUUACCGGAGUUUGUCCGUGACAUCAAUUUCUCAGUUAUAUGUUGUUCAUCUUCUUCCGGAGUUCCAAGUUUUCUACAUUAUCUCGUCGCGAAGCUCCAUCUAAAUUAUCGCAAGGCUUCACCUUGUGUUCUCAACUUCUCUUUCUUUUACCAUCCUUUAUUACCGGAGUUCUUCAUGGAGGCUCUACAUGGUGGUUCGUCAAGGAUUCUUUUCAUUCUUCAAUUGUUCUUCAAGUUUUCUCUCGAAGUUAUGAUCUGUCAAGCCAUACUUCAAAAUAAACAUGGUGCUCAACACAUGUUUUGUCUUGAGGAGUUCAAGCAUUCUUCAUCUUGCAUUCCGAGGUGCAAUUCUUUCUACCUUAUCUUUUGAGGUGGUGUUAUGUCAUUGUUGAUAAUUUCCCUUCGUGUUUCAUGAUUCACAAGUUUUCAAGAGUGGCAUAUCUAAAUCCAUCAUCUUCUCUUCUCUUAAGACAUCUUUUCAACCUAUCAAUCCCUCCAUUGGAGUUAUCUUGGUAAAGGUUUCACCUAAAGCCUUUCCUAAGGAAUGUUGCUAAUUAUGGUGCUUAUUAAUGAUCCAAGUUUCUCCUUCUCUUCUCGGUGAAAGAGUUUUCAUCUCCGUGUUUCUCUCAAGCAAUCAAUUGUUUUCCAUAGUGGCAUGUAUUCACCUCUAAGUUUUGAGUUGUUUCCAUAAGCCCACAACAAGCUUAUUCUUACCAUUGUUGUUUUUCAAACAACUCCGUUCAAUCCUACUUUGUAAGUAUGCUCUUUCAAAUUCAUUUAUGAUAGGAGAUGUUGGUUUCAUUCUUCGUUCUAUUCAUUCCAACUAUCUUCUAUUAUUUCUUCCAGAGGCAUUGUGAUGUUGCUCUCUUCGACCCAUCAUCUCAUUUUGCAAAUAUCAUGUUCUUUUCGUGCUUAUCCAUUUAACCGGAGUGUUAUGUCAUCUCUUCAAGUUCUUUCCAUCUUAUCAAGUUUUUCCUUCUCUUUUCUACCGGAGUGCUGUCCAAAUUAUAUCAUUCUUAUUCCUUCUCUAUCUUGUUUUAACCGGAGUGGUGUCAAUAUCUAUCUUGUCACUUAACCUCAUGGUUCUCAUUGUAUCCCAUGUUCUUCUUAUCUUACGGAGUGUUUGCAAUCUCGUCAUCUUCAUCGUAUUUUUUUCUUUCUUUCAAUUUUGUCAACCUCUCAAGGUUCGUUGGUUUCACUCUUUUGUCAAAGAAGCAACUUAGUUUUACCUCUUCUCUUUCUCUUCCGUUUUCCCUCCGGUGCCAUUCUAGAUCUCGGGACGAGAUCCUCUCGUAGUGGUGGAGUGUUGUAACGCCCCGAGACCGAUGUGCCAGGUGUCGUCCAGUUAUUUGCUGCCAUUGCCUUGUCAUGGCUUGCGUGUUGCAUUUCAUCAUGCCAUCAUGUGCAUUGCAUCAUCAUGUUUUCAAAACUUGCAUCCGUCCGGGUCUCCCCGUCCCUUCCGUUGUCCAUUCUGAGUCCAACCACACUUGCACGCGCCCACGGCACGUCCGAAAUAUUAUUUUAUAAGUGGCCGGAAAAUGUUCUCGGAAUGGGUUAAAGUUGGCGUGCGGUGUUGUUAUGUUGUUAGUAGGUCGCCCGCCAAGUUUCAUCACGUUCGGAGUUCGUUUGAUAGCCUAACCGUUAAACUAUAGCGGCAUUAUAGCUGGUAUUUACGCCGGACGUUUUCGGUCUCCGGAAACAGAUGCCGGGCCCUCUCUCUCUCUUCUCCCCCUCGCAGUCUCGCCACAGCCCACCUAGUCCAUCCUCCUUCCCCUCUUCGCUUCCGGAGUUGUCCGAUGCGACCGCACGGUCCGAAAGCCUCUCUGCAUAGUGCAUCGAACCCCUCACGUGAGCAUCCGAAAGUUGUCCCGGACCCGACCCGAGGUGUCGCCACCGUUGUGUCCGGAUCAUCCCCAAACAUCUACAAAACAUCACCGUUUUAUCAUUUGGACUUCCUAGCUAUUUUAUUCGCGAUCGUCCGAUUGCGAUCGGAGGGUCCUUUUAGCCCCUUACCAAAAUCCUUGCUAUAUAAACAGCCUAACCCUAAUUUCUAGGGGAGAUGUCCCAUCCAUCCUUCCCAUCCGCCGCCACCCGACCCACUCCCCUCUUUCCAUAUAUAUAUAGUCCAACCUCAUGCCUAUUUUGGACUAAACCUAGCACUAGCCCUCCAUUCCCGUGCAGCCGCCGCCACCCCUUGUUUUCCGUGCCUGGCCAGCCCACAGCCGCCACAUCGCACCACCAAAUCCCUAAUCAGAAAAUCCCCUCGUUCCCCACCUACCACAGCCAGAUGCCCGAUCCAAAAAUCCAGCCAGAUCGAUCCAUCCGCGUCUCCUCUCCUCCUCCUGUGCCUCGAUCCAGGGUGGAUCGAGAGCAGCGCCGCCCGGCCCCGACCACCGUGCCGCCAGCUCGCCGUCAGCAGCUCCAAGCUCCUCUAGGCCAGCCCCUUCACGCCCUGCCUUCUCUUCUUUAUCCCCCUGCUUCUCUCCCUAUCUAAUCUCUCUCUCUCUCUCUCUCUCUCUCUCUCUCUCUCUCUCUCUUACUCCUAGGGAACCAAACGAAGCUCCGUCGUGGAACGCUCUCUUCAUCGCCGGAGAUCCUCGAGCUGACCGGAGCCGUGGGCGAGCUCCUCCACCGUUUCCCCCUGCCUUUUUCCCUCGCAUCGCUAUUGAUUUCCCCCGUCCUGUCGUCGUUUUGUUGCACAGGAGAGCAGCCAUGGCCGUGGGCAACGAGCUCCUCCGCUCGCGUCCGUGACGUCGUCAGCCCGUGGGCCCCACCUCCUGUCGCGUCCGCCGUCUGCCUCCUUCCCCGCGCCAAGACCCGCUGCCGUCGCCCUCUGCUUCCCCUGCAUCGAGCAUGGAUCGAUCCGGUCAGGCGCGUUGACCGCGCCCGCAGCGCGUCGCUUCCGCGUGGCCUCGGGAGCGCCAAGUCCCGCAGCAGCCCGCAAGGCCCAGCCGGCCUGCCCCAGCGCCCUCUCCACGGUUCUGGGAUUGGCCCAUGGUGAGAGACCCCCAAGCCACACCCAGUGCUCCUGUCGGGCCAGCCAGAUUCGGCCCAUAUCAUGUUUUUUUCCAGCGUCUAUGAAUUUAUCUAUUAUCCAAUGAAUUACAGAAUUGCAGAAAACCCCCCAAGCAACAUGCAUAUAAUAUCUCACAAACGGUGCAUCACAUGUAAAAACUUAAUAUAUGAAACUUGCUCAGAAUUUUGUCUAGUUUAAUAAUAUGUCCUUUCAUCCAUGUUCAAAAUGUUUAAAAUGUUGUUUGCAUAUAUUUGCCCCUAUGUCUUGUUAAAAUGAUUUAUUUCAUAACUAAAUAACCGUAACUCGGAAUUUAAUAAACUUUAUAUGUAAAUGGGGUAGAAUUUUGCCUAGUUUAACAUGGUGGCUUCACUUUGCACGCUUAACAACUCAAAAAUUAUGUUUAGGGAAGAACAGUACCAAAUCUAUAAUAUGCUCAUGAGGAGUUUCCAGAAUUGUUGUUCGUUGCUUCCGGCCUCAUUUAGCCUUGACUAGAUAGGUAGUUUUCAUUUGCUUCACCUCUUGCAAUGCUAACAACAUUUAAUCUUGUUGGGUACAUAAACGAGAUCGAACUAAAUAAGUCACGUGGUGUCUCGUCAAUAUGCAACGGAGUUGCAUAUUGUGCUCCACUUAAUUUGUAGGGUUGCUUGUGCACUUUGCCAUGCCAUGUAUCAUUAAACCGGACAUGCAUCAUACUUGGUUGCGCAUCGUGCCAUGUUCAUGUCGUGGUUGUUUACUAUGUUGUGUGCUUCUUUUCCGGUGAUUGCUUCUUCGGGUUGGUUCCGGUAACGUCGUGUUGUGAGGAUUCGUUUGACUACGUCCGUUUGUCUUCUUCAUGGACUCGUUCUUCUUCCUUGCGGGAUUUCAGGCAAGAUGAUCAUACCCUCGAAAUCACUACUAUCUUUGCUAUGCUAGUUUUGCUCGCUCUUUUGCUAUGCCAAUGCUACGAUGCCUACCAUUUGCUUGUCAGCCUCCCAAAUUGCCAUGUUAAACCUCUAACCCACCUUGUCCUAGCAAACCGUUGAUUAGCUAUGUUACCGCUUUGCUCAGCCCCUCUUAUAGCGUUGUUAGUUGCAGGUGAAGAUUGAAGUUUGUUCCUUGUUGGAACAUGGAGAUGUUGUUCCUUGUUGGAACAUGUUUACUUGUUGGGAUAUCACAAUAUAUCUUAUUUAAUUAAUGCAUCUAUAUACUUGGUAAAGGGUGGAAGGCUCGGCCUUAUGCCUGGUGUUUUGUUCCACUCUUGCCGCCCUAGUUUCCGUCAUAUUGGUGUUAUGUUCCCAGAUUGUUGCGUUCCUUACGCGGUUGGGUUAUAAUGGGAACCCCUUGAUAGUUCGCCUUGAUUAAAACUUUUCCAGCAAUGCCCAACCUUGGUUUUACCAUUUGCCACCUAGCCUUUUCUUUCCCUUGGGUUCUGCAGACUCAAGGGUCAUCUUAUUUUAACCCCCCCCCCCCGGGCCAGUGCUCCUCUGAGUGUUGGUCCAAACCGUCAGCCGCCAGUGGUACCAGGGGCAACUCUGGGCUGGCCUACCGGAAGUUUAGACAAUCUGAGUGUGCCCUGAGAAAGAGAUAUGUGCAGCUCCUAUCGGGAUUUGUCGGCACAUUCGGGCGGUGUUGUUGGUCUUGUUUUAACCUGUCGAAGUGUCUUGAAUUACCGAGAUACCGAGUCUGAUCAGAAUGUCUUGGGAGGAGGUAUAUUCCUUCGUUGACCGUGAGAGCUUGUCAUGGGCUAAGUUGGGACUCCCCUGCAGGGAUUGAACUUUCGAAAGCCGUGCCCGCGGUUAUGGGCAGAUGGGAAUUUGUUAAUGUCCGGUUGUAGAUAACUUGAACCUUAAUUAAUUAAAAUGAAUCAACUGAGUGUGUUACCGUGAUGGCCUCUUCUCGGCGGAGUCCGGGAAGUGGACACGGUGUUGGAGUAAUGCUUGCGCAGGUUGUUCUCUAGUUUCUCGCUCGUGCUUUGCCUCCUCUUCUCGCCCUCCUUUGCGAAUAAGUUAGCCACCAUAUUUGCUAGUCGCUUGCUGCAGCUCCACUCAUAUUUUACCUUGCCUCACCUAUGAGCUUAAAUAGUCUUGAUCGCGAGGGUGCGAGAUUGCUGAGUCCCUGUGGCUCACAGAUUACUAUUACACCAGAUGCAGGGCCUGAUGAUUCCGCUCCAGGAGAUGCGUAUGAGCUCAAGUGGGAGUUCGAUGAAGACUCUCAAUGAUACUACGUUUCCUUUCCCGAUGAUCAGUAGUGGUGCCCAGUUGGGGGUGAUUGGGACCGUGUCGCAUGUUGGGUUCUCUUUUAUUUUUGGUGCCGUAGUCGGGCCAUGAGUGUUUGGAUGAUGUAAUGUUAUUUAUGUUCUUGAUUGACGUGGCGAGUGUAAGCCAACUAUGUUCUCCCCUUUAUUAUUCAUAUUACAUGGGAUGUUGUG